GACGAACGCUGGCGGCGGGCUUAACACAUGCAAGUCGAACGGAAAGGCCCGGGUUUGGUGGGGGGCUCGAUUAGCGAACGGGUGAUAAACACUUGUGUAACCUGCCCUUGACUUUGGGAUAACUUUAGGAAACUGGGGCUAAGACCGGAUGAGUGCUCCGGCUGCGAGUGGGGGGCGGGGAAGUUGCGGCUGUUGGGGAUGGACUCGUGGCUUAGCAGCUUGGUGUUGGGGUAGUGGAUGACCAAGCCGCUGACGGGUGGCCGGGCUGAGAGGGUAACCGGCCAAAUCGGGACUGGGAUACGGCCCAGCCUCCUACGGGAGGCAGCGGUGGAGAAUGGUGCACAAUGGGAGGAAGCCUGAUGCAGUCCCGCCGCGUGGGGGAUGACGGCAUUCGGGUUGUAAACCGCUUUCGCCUGUGACGAAGAGUGAGUGACGGUAAUGGGUAAAGAAGCCCCGGCUAACUACGUG
This 468-nucleotide ribosomal RNA is filed under the name uncultured bacterium. Its description in RNAcentral is "partial 16S ribosomal RNA". It matches the Rfam family "Bacterial small subunit ribosomal RNA", at positions 28 to 507 of the family's 1533-position model. The record is from RNAcentral.